This 497-nucleotide ribosomal RNA is filed under the name uncultured bacterium. Its description in RNAcentral is "partial 16S ribosomal RNA". It matches the Rfam family "Bacterial small subunit ribosomal RNA", at positions 28 to 507 of the family's 1533-position model. The record is from RNAcentral.
GAUGAACGCUGGCGGCGUGCCUAAUACAUGCAAGUCGAGCGAACAGACGAGGAUCUUGCUCCUCUGACGUUAGCGGCGGACGGGUGAGUAACACGUGGAUAACCUACCUAUAAGACUGGGAUAACUUCGGGAAACCGGAGCUAAUACCGGAUAAUAUAUUGAACCGCAUGGUUCAAUAGUGAAAGACGGUUUUGCUGUCACUUAUAGAUGGAUCCGCGCCGCAUUAGCUAGUUGGUAAGGUAACGGCCUACCAAGGCAACGAUGCGUAGCCGACCUGAGAGGGUGAACGGCCAACAUGGAAAUGGGACACGGUCCAGAAUCCUACGGGAGGCAGCAGUAGGGAAUCUUCCGCAAUGGGCGAAAGCCUGACGGAGCAAAGCCGCGUGAGUGAUGAAGGUCUUCGGAUCGUAAAACUCUGUUAUUAGGGAAGAACAAAUGUGUAAGUAACUAUGCACGGCUUGACGGUACCUAAUCAGAAAGCCACGGCUAACUACGUG